UAAGCGUACACGGUGGAUGCCUUGGCAGUCAGAGGCGAUGAAGGACGUAUUAACUUGCGAUAAGCCCAGAUUAGGCAGUAAAAGCCACUUGAGUCUGGGAUUUCCGAAUGGGGAAACCCACUAGCAUAAGCUAGUAUCGCUGCGUGAAUACAUAGCGCAGCGAGAUUCCGAAAGUAGCGGCGAGCGAAAUUGGACUAGCCCUUAAGCUUUACACGCGUUAGACGAACGGUCUGGAAAGUCCGACGAUACAGGGUGAUAGUCCCGUAGUUGACGACGUGUGUUCAGUGAAAUCGAGUAGGGCGGGACACGUGAUAUCCUGUCUGAAUAUGGGGGGACCAUCCUCCAAGGCUAAAUACUACUGACUGACCGAUAGUGAACCAGUACCGUGAGGGAAAGGCGAAAAGAACCCCUGUGAGGGGAGUGAAAUAGAACCUGAAACCGUGUACGUACAAGCAGUAGGAGCAGGCUUUGUCCUGUGACUGCGUACCUUUUGUAUAAUGGGUCAGCGACUUAUAUUCAGUGGCAAGGUUAACCAUCUAGGGGAGCCGUAGGGAAACCGAGUCUUAACUGGGCGUUCAGUCUCUGGAUAUAGACCCGAAACCAGGUGAUCUAGCCAUGGGCAGGUUGAAGGUUGAGUAACAUCAACUGGAGGACCGAACCGACUAAUGUUGAAAAAUUAGCGGAUGACUUGUGGCUAGGGGUGAAAGGCCAAUCAAACCUGGAGAUAGCUGGUUCUCCCCGAAAGCUAUUUAGGUAGCGCCUCGGACGAAUACUACUGGGGGUAGAGCACUGUUAAGGCUAGGGGGUCAUCCCGACUUACCAACCCUUUGCAAACUCCGAAUACCAGUAAGUACUAUCCGGGAGACACACGGCGGGUGCUAACGUCCGUCGUGGAGAGGGAAACAACCCAGACCGCCAGCUAAGGUCCCAAAUUACUACUAAGUGGGAAACGAUGUGGGAAGGCUCAGACAGCCAGGAUGUUGGCUUAGAAGCAGCCAUCAUUUAAAGAAAGCGUAAUAGCUCACUGGUCGAGUCGGCCUGCGCGGAAGAUGUAACGGGGCUAAGUAGUAAACCGAAGCUGCGGCAAUAUACUUUUGUAUAUUGGGUAGGGGAGCGUUCUGUAAGCGGUUGAAGGUGUGUGGUAACGCAUGCCUGUCCAACGUUAAUCGGGGCAGGGUAAGUCGACCCCUAAGGCGAGGCCGAAAGGCGUAGUCGAUGGGAAACGGGUUAAUAUUCCCGUACUUCUUACAAUUGCGAUGGGGGGACGGAGAAGGCUAGGUGGGCCUGGCGACGGUUGUCCAGGUUCAAGUGCGUAGGCUUAAGAGUUAGGUAAAUCCGGCUCUUUUUAAGGCUGAGACACGACGUCGAGCACCUACGGGUGUGAAGUCAUUGAUGCCAUGCUUCCAGGAAAAGCCUCUAAGCUUCAGAUUGUAAGGAAUCGUACCCCAAACCGACACAGGUGGUCGGGUAGAGAAUACCAAGGCGCUUGAGAGAACUCGGGUGAAGGAACUAGGCAAAAUGGUACCGUAACUUCGGGAGAAGGUACGCUCUCGACGGUGAAGUCCCUUGCGGAUGGAGCUAUU
RNAcentral lists this ribosomal RNA (1583 nucleotides) under Vibrio parahaemolyticus. RNAcentral's name for it is "partial 23S ribosomal RNA". It matches the Rfam family "Bacterial large subunit ribosomal RNA", at positions 12 to 1786 of the family's 2925-position model. Lineage: Bacteria; Pseudomonadati; Pseudomonadota; Gammaproteobacteria; Vibrionales; Vibrionaceae. The record is from RNAcentral.